GCAAGUCGAACGGGAAACCUUUUAUUGAAGCUUCGGCAGAUUUAGCUGGUUUCUAGUGGCGGACGGGUGAGUAACGCGUGGGUAACCUGCCUUAUACAGGGGGAUAACAACCAGAAAUGGUUGCUAAUACCGCAUAAGCGCACAGGACCGCAUGGUCCGGUGUGAAAAACUCCGGUGGUAUAAGAUGGACCCGCGUUGGAUUAGCUAGUUGGCAGGGUAACGGCCUACCAAGGCGACGAUCCAUAGCCGGCCUGAGAGGGUGAACGGCCACAUUGGGACUGAGACACGGCCCAGACUCCUACGGGAGGCAGCAGUGGGGAAUAUUGCACAAUGGGGGAAACCCUGAUGCAGCGACGCCGCGUGAAGGAAGAAGUAUCUCGGUAUGUAAACUUCUAUCAGCAGGGAAGAUAGUGACGGUACCUGACUAAGAAGCCCCGGCUAACUACGUGCCAGCAGCCGCGGUAAUACGUAGGGGGCAAGCGUUAUCCGGAUUUACUGGGUGUAAAGGGAGCGUAGACGGACUGGCAAGUCUGAUGUGAAAGGCGGGGGCUCAACCCCUGGACUGCAUUGGAAACUGUUAGUCUUGAGUGCCGGAGAGGUAAGCGGAAUUCCUAGCGUAGCGGUGAAAUGCGUAGAUAUUAGGAGGAACACCAGUGGCGAAGGCGGCUUACUGGACGGUAACUGACGUUGAGGCUCGAAAGCGUGGGGAGCAAACAGG
This 718-nucleotide ribosomal RNA is filed under the name uncultured Lachnospiraceae bacterium. RNAcentral describes it as "bacterial SSU rRNA". It matches the Rfam family "Bacterial small subunit ribosomal RNA", at positions 57 to 776 of the family's 1533-position model. The record is from RNAcentral. Lineage: Bacteria; Bacillati; Bacillota; Clostridia; Lachnospirales; Lachnospiraceae.